GGGAGAGAAAAGAGGGGAGAUAAGUGGAGGGGUUGGGGGAGGUCCAGUGGGGAGAGCUAACCAGAUAAGUGAGGGUACAGGAGGGAGAAAAUAAGGGAGAAUAAGUAGGAGGAUGGAGAGGGGGAGGUAAAACUGGGAGAUAAGUGAGGGGUGAUAAAAAUAGGGAGAGAAGUGUGUGUGGGAUUACUGGAGGAAGAUUGAAAUAAGGGGAGACUAGAUCGGGAGGUAAGUGAAGGGAGAUUAAAAUGAGGUAAGUGAAGGGAGAUUAAAAUGAGGUAAGUGAAGGGAGAUUAAAAUGAGGUAAGUGAAGGGAGAUUAAAAUGAGGUAAGUGAAGGGAGAUUAAAAUGAGGUAAGUGAAGGGAGAUUAAAAUGAGGUAAGUGAAGGGAGAUUAAAAUGAGUUAAGUGAAGGGAGAUUAAAAUGAGGUAAGUGAAGGGAGAUUAAAAUGAGGUAAGUGAAGGGAGAUUAAAAUGAGGUAAGUGAAGGGAGAUUAAAAUGAGGUAAGUGAAGGGAGAUUAAAAUGAGUUAAGUGAAGGGAGAUUAAAAUGAGUUAAGUGAAGGGAGAUUAAAAUUAUCAAUAUUAUAGUUUUCCUUCUGUCUGAUCAACCCCCCCUCCCCCAACUAUCACCAUCAUCAUCAUCAACAAUCAACUCUAUCAAGCUGACAGCUGUAGAUAGGUAGACAGGUUAGGGCCCCCUCACUCCCCUCCUCCUUCCCUUCAUUCUGUCAUCAUCAUCAUGUGACCAGUGACUCAUGGGCAGCCUUCAUUCCUCUGUAUUUCUUCCUGCCUGCGACUUCACGGCCGUACCCAGAAGGGGGGGGGGGGGUGAGAGAGGGGUUCGGAUGACUCCCCCCCCCAUCUCCUAAAAGGUCCAUUUUCCGAGAUGUCAA
Eriocheir sinensis (Chinese mitten crab) is the source of this 891-nucleotide long non-coding RNA. RefSeq lists it as uncharacterized. The record is from RefSeq and is a predicted model, not a curated record. Lineage: Eukaryota; Metazoa; Arthropoda; Malacostraca; Decapoda; Varunidae. The transcript has 3 exons.